UUGGCACGGCAAGGCCACGACGCGUUCGGCCACGGCGCGCUCGGCUCCUGCGUGGCGGACGUGGCCUCGCCCGGCCACGACGGCUUCAGGAGAAGGUCCAAGGUGGCUACCAGCUACGAGUUGGAGCCACGGGCGCUCGACGGCUGGCGGCGGCCCAUGGCGGCGACUGUUGGCGAUGUGGCACUGUACCAGCAAUCUCUUAAGGGAAAAAAUGUUGAAGGACAAGGAUAUGAAGCUCACUUCACCACCCCACCUAACUUGAAGGAUGGAGCUGGUUGCUCAAGCAUGGCUACAAUGGAACCAAGCACGACCAACCCUCCGCUUCUGACCAACACCGAAUACAUGAACUUGGACAAUGCCAUCAUCGAAUAUGCUUCGAGUGAUGUGUUUGGAUACCUUUACUAG
RNAcentral lists this unclassified non-coding RNA (405 nucleotides) under Zea mays. RNAcentral describes it as "misc RNA Zm00001eb367520". The record is from RNAcentral. Lineage: Eukaryota; Viridiplantae; Streptophyta; Magnoliopsida; Poales; Poaceae.